ACAGCAGUCGCCGCGGUAAUACAGAGGGUGCGAGCGUUAAUCGGAUUUACUGGGCGUAAAGCGUGCGUAGGCGGCUAAUUGAGUCGGAUGUGAAAUCCCCGAGCUUAACUUGGGAAUUGCAUUCGAUACUGGUUAGCUAGAGUGUGGGAGAGGAUGGUAGAAUUCCAGGUGUAGCGGUGAAAUGCGUAGAGAUCUGGAGGAAUACCGAUGGCGAAGGCAGCCAUCUGGCCUAACACUGACGCUGAGGUACGAAAGCAUGGGGAGCAAACAGGAUUAGAUACCCGAGUAGUCCCUGUCUCUUAUAC
Molecule: ribosomal RNA, 305 nt
Filed under: uncultured bacterium
Lineage: Bacteria
Description: partial 16S ribosomal RNA
Rfam family: Bacterial small subunit ribosomal RNA
Source: RNAcentral